CUCUCUGUCAGGGGCGGUUUCACCGCCUGAGUUUGGCUCGGAGACUGAGCCCCAAGCGGUGCCACCUCCUGACUGAGGCGGUUGCACCUCUCUGCCAGAGCUCGAAGACCGAGCUCAGGCGGUGCUACCUCUCUGUCAGGGGAGGUUGCACCGCCCAGUCUUGCUCGAAGACUGAGCUCAGGCGGUGCCACCUCCUGGCUGG
This 202-nucleotide long non-coding RNA is filed under the name Musa acuminata (dwarf banana). RNAcentral describes it as "long non-coding RNA (MACU_LNC005805)". The record is from RNAcentral. Lineage: Eukaryota; Viridiplantae; Streptophyta; Magnoliopsida; Zingiberales; Musaceae.